Molecule: transfer RNA, 74 nt
Filed under: Deltaproteobacteria bacterium
Lineage: Bacteria; Pseudomonadati; Myxococcota; Myxococcia
Description: tRNA-His
Rfam family: tRNA
About the family: Transfer RNA (tRNA) molecules are approximately 80 nucleotides in length. Their secondary structure includes four short double-helical elements and three loops (D, anti-codon, and T loops).
Source: RNAcentral
GUGAGCGUAGCUCAACGGUAGAGCAUCGGACUGUGGAUCCGAGUGCUGAGGGUUCGAAUCCCUUCGCUCACCCA